UUGCUGUAAUCAUCAUUAUUCAGUAGCAACUAGUCAGCAAAAUUCGGCUCUCAAAAUAUAAUUUUUGUUCAUUUCUUUUUAUCAUUCAUUCUUGACCAAUAUUUUUCUAAUUCUUGACGAGAAAAAAUCUUAUCUGCUACAACCCUUGAAGCUUUUCCAGAUCAGUUGGCUUACGCAGAGGCGGCUUCUGAGAGUGAAUCGAAUUCUUCGAAAAUACUGGUUGAUGGGAAAGUACAGCCUCAUAAGAAAAUAACGGAUUCAGAGAACGAAAAAGAUUCUGAGAAAAUAACGAAUUCAAAUAUCGAGCUCGAGUCUGAGAAAAUAACGGAUUCUAAUAUCGAACCCGAGUCUAAAAAAAAACGAAUUCUGUGAAAAAAACAGAAACUGUGAAACUAAGAAGAUCAAUAGCGAAGAAAACAGCAGAAAAUUUCUGGUUCAGUUUUUUAGUUCGCAUAGUUGGAUUCUUGCAAAUUUAUGCGGCCAUGAACGAUGGUCGGUUUUUCAUCGCAAAUGCUCUCCUAAGCUUCGGGACCUUCGCCGAUUUUUUAUUUCCGCUUUGGGUACAUAUCGAACAACAACAGUGUUGGGUCGACGACCACUUAAUCCAAGAUUCAAAAGUAGGAAGUGAUAGAAUAGCAGAUAAAAUGUUGAAACUCUUGUUCGUUUCUGCUAUUGACGUCACCCGAAUUCUUCCAACUCUUGUAAUCUUGUGUUCUUGGUUAUUGGAGCCACUCAUUUGGACAUCUGAUGAUCAAUUGCUUCUAGGAGGAGUCUUUCAACUCAUUUUGAAUUGUCCGAAACUUAUCGGGGGUUUCAUUUUAAUGUCCCAAUGCAUAGACAAAAUAUAAUAAUGAAAAGAAAACAGCAAAC
This is a long non-coding RNA of Symsagittifera roscoffensis, 870 nucleotides long. RefSeq lists it as uncharacterized. Lineage: Eukaryota; Metazoa; Xenacoelomorpha; Acoela; Convolutidae. The transcript is spliced from 3 exons. The record is from RefSeq and is a predicted model, not a curated record.